Molecule: ribosomal RNA, 400 nt
Filed under: uncultured bacterium
Lineage: Bacteria
Description: bacterial SSU rRNA
Rfam family: Bacterial small subunit ribosomal RNA
Source: RNAcentral
GAGGAAUAUUGGACAAUGGGGGAAACCCUGAUCCAGCAAUGUCGCGUGAAUGAAGAAGGCCUUAGGGUUGUAAAAUUCUUUCACUCAUGAAGAUAAUGACGGUAAUGAGAGAAGAAGCUCCGGCUAACUCUGUGCCAGCAGCCGCGGUAAUACAGAGGGAGCAAGCGUUGUUCGGAAUGACUGGGCGUAAAGGGUGCGUAGGCGGUCUUUUAAGCAAGGUGUUAAAGCCCCGGGCUCAACCCGGGAAUCGCGCUUUGAACUGGAAGACUAGAGUACGAGAGAGGAAAGUGGAAUUCCUAGUGUAGAGGUGAAAUUCGUAGAUAUUAGGAGGAAUACCAAAAGCGAAGGCAGCUUUCUGGAUCGUCACUGACGCUGAGGCACGAAAGCGUGGGGAGCAAAC